This 72-nucleotide transfer RNA is filed under the name Camelus bactrianus (Bactrian camel). It matches the Rfam family "tRNA". Rfam says of the family: Transfer RNA (tRNA) molecules are approximately 80 nucleotides in length. Their secondary structure includes four short double-helical elements and three loops (D, anti-codon, and T loops). The record is from Rfam by way of RNAcentral. Lineage: Eukaryota; Metazoa; Chordata; Mammalia; Artiodactyla; Camelidae. RNAcentral also lists the same sequence under 1 other name.
GAGUGUAUAGCUCAGUGGUAGAGCACGUGCUUAGCAUGCAUCAAGUCCUGGCUUCAAUCCCCAGCACCUUCA